RNAcentral lists this ribosomal RNA (450 nucleotides) under uncultured bacterium. RNAcentral's name for it is "bacterial SSU rRNA". It matches the Rfam family "Bacterial small subunit ribosomal RNA", at positions 355 to 796 of the family's 1533-position model. The record is from RNAcentral.
UAGGGAAUAUUGCGCAAUGGAGGAAACUCUGACGCAGCGACGCCGCGUGGGUGACGAAGGCCUUCGGGUCGUAAAGCCCUGUCGGAAGGGACGAAAAGUAUCGCUGAUAACACCUGCGAUAUAUGACGGUACCUUCAGAGGAAGCACCGGCUAACUACGUGCCAGCAGCCGCGGUAAUACGUAGGGUGCAAGCGUUGUUCGGAAUCAUUGGGCGUAAAGCGCGUGUAGGUGGUUUGUUAAGUCGGUUGUGAAAUCCCUGGGCUUAACCGAGGAAGUGCAUUCGAAACUAGCAGACUAGAGGAUGGCAGAGGAAGGUGGAAUUCCCAGUGUAGAGGUGAAAUUCGUAGAUAUUGGGAGGAAUACCGGCGGCGAAGGCGGCCUUCUGGACCAUUCCUGACACUGAGACGCGAAAGCGUGGGUAGCAAACAGGAUUAGAUACCCCCGUAGUCC